Molecule: non-coding RNA, 31 nt
Filed under: Rattus norvegicus (Norway rat)
Lineage: Eukaryota; Metazoa; Chordata; Mammalia; Rodentia; Muridae
Source: RNAcentral
UCAAGGAAGGUUAUUGUGAAUUAUCCUGUGU